AUACCUACCUGGCAAGGGAGAUACCAUGAUCACAAAAGUGGUUUUCCCAGGGUGAGGCUUUUCCAUUUGCUCCGAAUGUACUGACCCCCACGAUUUCCCCAAAUGUGGGAAACUUAGUUGACUACAUAAUUUGUGGUAAAAAAAGAUUUUUUA
RNAcentral lists this small nuclear RNA (153 nucleotides) under Microcebus murinus (gray mouse lemur). RNAcentral describes it as "U1 spliceosomal RNA (ENSMICG00000018354.3)". It matches the Rfam family "U1 spliceosomal RNA". Rfam says of the family: U1 is a small nuclear RNA (snRNA) component of the spliceosome (involved in pre-mRNA splicing). The record is from Rfam by way of RNAcentral. Lineage: Eukaryota; Metazoa; Chordata; Mammalia; Primates; Cheirogaleidae.